GAAUAUUGGACAAUGGGCGAAAGCCUGAUCCAGCAAUUCCGCGUGAGCGAAGAAGGCCUUCGGGUUGUAAAGCUCUUUCGGCAGGGACGAUAAUGACGGUACCUGCAGAAGAAGCCCCGGCUAACUCCGUGCCAGCAGCCGCGGUAAUACGGAGGGGGCUAGCGUUGUUCGGAAUCACUGGGCGUAAAGCGUGCGUAGGCGGCUACUCAAGUCAGGGGUGAAAGCCUGGGGCUCAACCUCAGAAUUGCCUUUGAAACUAGGUAGCUUGAACACGGGAGAGGUAAGUGGAAUUCCGAGUGUAGAGGUGAAAUUCGUAGAUAUUCGGAAGAACACCAGUGGCGAAGGCGGCUUACUGGACCGUUGUUGACGCUGAGGCACGAAAGCGUGGGGAGCAAACAG
This 399-nucleotide ribosomal RNA is filed under the name uncultured bacterium. RNAcentral's name for it is "bacterial SSU rRNA". It matches the Rfam family "Bacterial small subunit ribosomal RNA", at positions 359 to 775 of the family's 1533-position model. The record is from RNAcentral.